This 852-nucleotide long non-coding RNA is filed under the name Triticum aestivum (bread wheat). Its description in RNAcentral is "long non-coding RNA (TAES_LNC018887)". The record is from RNAcentral. Lineage: Eukaryota; Viridiplantae; Streptophyta; Magnoliopsida; Poales; Poaceae.
AAUUCAACGCAAGAUCCUGCUGGUGAUCCAACAGAUGGGAACCCAACAGACACAAACACAUCAGGUGAUUAUAGUCAUAUGCUUGCGAACUUGUCAGAUUUAUUUGCUUACUUGCAUUGCUAAAAGUGCACUUCUAUUUGGAGAUGCCUAAGAAAAUGACUGGCAAAUAAAAUAGGAAUCCAAACUUGCAAAAUUCUCUUUUACAGACUGCUAGUACUAUUGGGACUCUAGGUACAAGGCACAAUGUAAUUGCUCCAAAUACGCUCAUACAAGUUGCAACAAUGAAUUCUCAAAUGUUUUGAGCAAUGGUACACAAGCUUGGUUUGUCUUCAUGUUGACCUUUAUUUGAUGCGUAAAUGGCCUUCAUAAUGUGCAAUCAUCUACUUGCUUGCACUAUUGUACUUUCUUUGUUGCUGAAGCACAUACAGUAGGAAGCCAGAAAUAGAACAGUUUUCUCACCAUUAGAAAUUGUGAACUUGCGCCAGCAUGUAGUUGUUUCGGAGAAGUUUAGUUGUUUGAUUAAUUUAGGUAAUUACUUUUGUGUUUGAACUAUAAAUUCUUUUGUGAAAUUAUGCAAUUCUUUUUGCAUAGCACCUAACUGCUGCUGGAGUAGUACAACAGGCACAAGAAUUUGCUUGCUAUCUGUUGUGGUCAUGACAAUUCGUCAGGAAGGUACCCAUGCAUGCACGAAUAUAGUAACUAUACAAUUGUCAUGAUAGUGGUUAUAUCUUUCUGCUAAUUAGUCAUUGUGUUGUUUCUUUAUUUUCCUGACUAAGUAUUUUCUAUUUUAAAUUAACUUGAGCUAAAUAAAUUUUUGAUUUCUUCAUAGCAGGAUCCAAAGAUUUAGCUGGA